GUGCUGAACCUGCAGCAUAUGGAAGUUCCAGGGCUAGGGAUUGAAUCAGAGCUUCAGCUGCUGGCCUACGCCACAGCCACAGCAACACGAGAUCUGAGCCAAAUCUGCAACCUACGACUCACGGCAACACUGGAUACUUUAACCCGCUAAGCGAGGCCAGGGAUCAAACCCGCAUCCUUAUGGAUACUGGUCAGUAUCCAUGAUUCUUAACCUGCUGAGCCACAAUGGGUACUCCAGAUAGUUCAGUUUCAGUGUUGGAUGAAUAUCUGAUAUUAUUAUAGUGGUCCUGGCUCUGGUCCCUUGCUAUAUGUGGUUAUCAAAGUGUCUAACUUGGAGUCCAGGAGGUUUAUGGCUUCGACCCCCACGUAUAGCUACAUGUUUCUGUUCCAUUUCUGGCUCACAGAGAAAUGUUUAUUAGUCUUUUCAGCAAGUCUAUGUCUAUUUAAUUCAUAUAUGUAAUUAUAUAUACUUACAUAUAUACAUGUGUAUAUAUAUGUGUAUACACACACGUAUUCUACCUAUUAUAGAUGUAGACUUAGAGUAAUAAGAUAUAAACUCACAGAAUCAACUUGCUGGUGACCUCUACUCCUUUUUAAUUUUUUGUGGAGAAGCAUAAUUUUGCAGCAUUUAUAUGAGCAAGGCUCAUUUUGUGCUUAUAAAUAUAAUAUACAAUAUAUGUAAAGUCUCAGUGACUAAGAAGCUAGUUCUCUUUUUAUUUAGAAAAAAUACACAAUUCUUCAAAAGAAAUAAAGAAUUAUCUUCUUUAGAGAAAAACUUUCCCUUCCAGACAUUGGGCAGGGGGGAGUAUUGAUCUCUCAUAGAGUAGAUGUCUGGUUCUGACCAGUAAAAAACAUGCACGUGUGUUUUAUUAGAGAGAGAACCAGUGUCUUAGAGUUAUUGACACUCAAGGUCUCUAGCUAGAAUUUAAUUCUAUAGCCUAAUUUUUGAAGUGUUUAUAGUUACAUUCUAUGAUGUUAAGAAUGUAGAAGAUUAUCACGAGAGCAAUAAAAUUUUCUAUAAUGGAAAAAAAAAUAAAAAUCAUUAUANCUGUACAGCACUGUAAACCAACUAUAAUGGAAAAAAAUAAAAAUCAUUAUAUAAAAAAGUAAUAAUCUCCAAAUAGAUUAAAAAAUUGAGGCACAAUAAAUAACACUAUUAAAUAAUACUUCAUAUAGUAAAGUAAUAAUCAAAAGUCAUAAAGGUGGUAAGUAAACCAAAUGUGAGAAGCACUGGCAUAAUAGAAUUGAUAGCUCAACUUAAAUUUCUUGACCUAAAAUACAAACAGAGGUCUAUACUCACCUUUUGAAUCAAGGGCAAGCCCACCUGCAGCAAACCUGCAGCUGUGGUUGCUUCCUCUUAUAUAUCAUUCUUUUCCCUAAUCUUUCUCCUUUCAGUCAGGGUUGAUAAACUGUAGCUAAUCUCAGAGGGUCAAGGUGUUGCCAAUUCUAUAGGGUAAAAAUACUUUCAAAGAGAUGUUUGGAGGAAAGGCAUUGUUAACCCAAGGAAUGCAUAAAUUAUAUAAUUUCAGGCAGAACGUCAAGCAACCUUGAUGGGCAUCUGAACCUCAUUCAUGAUUUAAUCCAUGAAGGGCAAAUGGCUAUUAACACCAAUUUAUGGAUAGCUGCUUUUUUUUUUUUUUCCCAGGGCCACUCCUGCAGCACAUGGAAGUUCCAGGGCCAGGGGUCGAAUCAGAGCUAUGGCUGCUGGCCUAUGCCACAGCCACAGCAAUGCCAGAUCUGAGCCACAUCUGUAACCUACACCACAGCUCACAGCAAUGCAGGAUCCCUGACCCACUUAGCAAGGCCAGGGAUUGAACCUGCAUCCUCAUGGAUACUAGUUGGAUUCAUUUCCCCUGCACCACAAUGGGAACUCCUGGAUAGCUGCUUUCUAUACUGCUGUGUUCAGAAGGAUUCUGAGGGGAAAACUGGACUAUUAAGAAUGAGUGCCAUUGAGCAUAGAUGUGUGAAGUACCAGAAUUUGUGCUAUGUGUGAGCUAUCCUUGAUUAAGAGAGGAAUAAAUAGUCCUGAUCUUCUACGAUCUCAGAUGUCUAAAAAGGAGUCCUUGCCUAGAAUGCUUCAGUAUAAGCCAGUAUAUUUCAGAAAAUCAUUUUAAAACAAAUGGAACAAAGCAUGAUUUAUGUUAUUCCAGGUAUGUUUAUUGAAAAAAAAAAACCUCCUUUCUUACAGUAAAACUAAAUGAAAAUACUUGAAGAUAACUGAAUAGGGGGAAGUUAAAAAAAAAAGUGGCCAAUAUUUGGUAGCUUUUUAAUAGAGCAAUUUCAUUUUAAAAAGUAUCAAUCCUAGAGAAAAUGCCGUUCCAGAAAAAAAAAAGUAAGUUGUCAUAGUAACUCAGUGUUAGAACCUCCACACAGACCAAAUUUAGCAGAGCUAUACUUAUUGCUUAAUUGUACAAACUAUUCGUUUGGCAAAAGGAAAGAAGACAGGAAAUGAGAUUUGUUUUGCACCUACUGUGUGUGAGGUGGAUUACACAAUUUCCUCAUUAAUCACCAUAAGAAUCCAGCUAAGAAGUUAUUAAUACCUUCAGUUUUACAGGUAAAGAAUUUGAGGUCCAGAGUGGCCAUUUACUUGCCUUAUAUCGCAGUAUAAUUGGAGGAGCAGGGCUCUGAAUGUAGGUCUCCCUAAAGCCCAUGAUUUAAUUUUUUUUUUUCUUUUUAUGGCCUCACUGGCAUAGUUCCAGGGUUAGGGGUUGAAUUGGAGCUUCACUGCCACCAUAUCUGCAACCUACACUUCGGCUUUUGGCAAUGCCAAAUCUUUAACCCACAGAGCGAGGCCAGGGAUCGAACCUGCAACCUCACGGACACCAUGUUGGGUUCCUAAUCCACUGAGCCACAACAGGAACUAUCAAAAGCCUAUAAUUUUCAAGGACUUUGAAUAACCCUACUUGCUUCCUCCCUGAACCACACUAUCUGGAGGCUACAGAAAGACACCACUGCUAUUUUGAAAGGCAAGGGUGGUUCAAGGAACAUCAGGGUCUUUUACACUAAAGAGAUAAUACGAAGUGAAAAGGGCAGUUUCUUUAUCAACAAUAUUGCUCACUAGAGAAUUGGUGGACUGCCCCUCUUCUUUCUAGGUGACAGGAAGAUUCACGAGGGAAGCGGCUGAACAAUUUCUUAUUUGUCUUGUUCAAACUUGUUCCAACAUCAACAAAAUUGCUCUCAAAUCAGACAUUUUAGAAUUGGACACAAAUCAUUAAUUCCAAUUUAUAUGUCUCUCUUUUAUUAGAGAAAUAUUUAUUUAGUGUCACUAUGCAUCCAGGACUGUGCUAGCUCUUUGGGACUAUAGAAAACCAGUCCAGUAGGAUAAAACUUUCUUCUGCCAAUGACAUUAGCAACACUUCUCAAGUUUGCCAAGGGCAAACAAGGCCACUGAAAACCCCUGGUCUCCUUUCACACAUCAAACUAUCCCCCAAUUCAACUAAGUCUUUGCUCAAAAAUUGAGUCCUUUGUCCUCAUGGGAAAUACCAAUGUGAGCCAUCUUGAAGUUUGGUCACCUGUGGACUCUUAGCAGACAAGGAGGUAAAGCCAGCUGACUAAGUACUAAUAGAGAAUUUGAUCCGAGUGGGAGUUAGAUGAUCUCUCUCAUUUCAAGAUGCUUUAAGGAAUCAGUGAAAGAGCAACUGAAAUGUAGUGUGUCAGUACUGGAGGCCUGUGAUUGGCCCUAUCAGCCACAGGAGAUGGGGAAUCCCAUUGACCUAGUUUGCUAUAGACUCGCAGCGCUAGGGAUUAGCCUAGCCAUGGCUUAUGUGUUGAUAGGAUGAGGUGAAUUGGGUUCCAGCCUAGUUCCCACAUGGCAUUAGAGAGAGAAAUGUCUUCGACAACCACCCACACACUAUGGAAUAAACCAAAACUUUUCAAUCAGAUUUUGGCAUCAAAUCACUGCCUCCCCCAAUCUCCUGCUAUUCCUCAAUAUAAACCCUGUGUUAUAAGCAGGUGCUUUCUAGCUCUGUGACUGUAGAUAAAUUAUUUUCUUUUCCUUUCCCUUUCCCUUCCUUUCCCUUCCCUUUCCUUUCUUUUUACUUCUUUCCUACCUCUCUGAGUCUCAGUUUCUCCAUCUGCAAGAUUGGAAAGAUUUAGCACCAUAUUUGCUAAAUUAAAGAAUAAAUUGAAAGCAAGUCUGGAGUUCUCUUAGGGCACAGGGGGUUAAGGAUCCAGCAUUGUCCAUGCAGCAGCUUGGGUCGCAGCCAAAACCAAAAAGUUUAAAAUACCAACUAAUAUAUGAGAAGUUCCUAGAAAAAAGUUCUCAAGUUCUUAGGUGAUUAAAUAAAUGAACAUAAGUAAAGCACAGUAGCACUACCAAUCUUUUUGCUCUUGACAGCAGCUAGACUUGCAGCUCAGCAAAGGCAAACAUGUGCACCUAAUACCUGUCUAUUUUAUCACACAGCAAACCAUUCCCCAGUGAGACUAAAUCUUUGUUCAGAAAUUGAAUCAUUUGCACUCGAGGGAAAUUCUUAUCUGAGCCAUCUUAAAAUCUGGUCACAUGAACCCUCAGUAUGAUUUAAGCAUUCCUGCCUCCAUGUCUGACUCCUGCCUAAAAAAGUUUUCCCAUUCUUCAUUGUUGAGGCAAGUUCAAGUCAUGUAUUGUAAAGCCUAUGAUAAAUCCUACCCAGCCAUGAAUCCUGUACUGCUCUCCACAACCCACAAGAAUCCCUUUAUUGUAAAUACCACUCACCUUGACACAUAUUUAUCACAUAUUUCUCUGAUAUUUUCAUACAAGAUGUUUCUCUCAUUGAGAAGAUUCAGCCUUGUGAGGACAGUGAUAAAUUGCCUACUUUAUUUUUAAAUCUCCCCAUGCAUCUACCUAGAACAAUUGUUGAGUUUCCAUGGUUGUGUCAGUUGAUGCCUUAAAGGGCUAGUUAAGCCUUUAAAACAAUCAGAGAGGCUUAUUCAUAAGGUUUGAGCUUCAACUACCCAAGCACUUCCCUGCCCAUAUUAACUGCUAUUGAUAUAAACAGAGAACUUGGUCAUGGAAUUUGAGUCUGCCACUGGACAGUCACUGUUAUGCAAAUCUGGUACCCAUCCCUGUUCAUGAACAUGACUGCUAUUUUUCAUGACGGACAAGAUUUAGGUAUCCAUUCUCUGCUUGCUUAACUUGCUAUUAGACUAUAUCCCAGUCUUCCUCUGCCAGCCUUUCUUCUUCCCACCAACAGUUGUUGAGUGCCUCCCUCAUGAUAGAUGCUUUGUUAGAUGCAGAAGAUACAACGAAAAACAUGAUAACAAGGGUCCCACCUUCAUAAACUAGAAGUGCAUCUGGGACUAAAAAUUCAUAGCAACCAUGAUGUUCUGAACAAUCUCAGAGUGACUGAGAAUAGAACUAUCUUUGGAGAAACUCACAGUCCUGUCCUAUUUUUAGUUGGAAACAGCAAUGCACUCUCACCCUUGAAACUAACCACUUCCCAGAGAUCACAGGAAUCUGCCCAGGCUGCUCCAUGAGAAAAAUUCAGCCUGUUAACUGUGGAUAUGAAUGCAGUUCCUUACUGUCUUUAUUAACAGAGGAGUUAUUUCAAUGCAAAUGUUGGUAAUGCAAUCGAUAGUUCAAAAACAAAAUGCCUUAUUCCUUAUAUAUAGAGCUGACAGCCUGGAGACAAUGUAGCUGGAUAGUCACUAAAAUGUCUGAGGAGGGGAUAUCAUUUUCCCCCAUCUCCCAAAGCAUCCUGGUAUUCAAAACUCAUCUGUAUUUCUAGACGCAAACAAUUCCCUUGUUUGGAUCACCAAAACAAGAAACAUCUUCUCACAUAAUUAAAACAUGCAGCUCUUCCAAGACGGCCACUCGGAUGCUAGCUAAGAAAGGCGCAAUCCGUACUGAAGAAGAAUUAUGCAUGAGUUAGGGCUGAGAGUUACACUUGGGUAAAAUCCUCAAUUACUGUAGCUUCAUUAAUGCAUUCUCAGUGUCUUACUGCUGAGUGACUGUUCUGAAUAAAUUGUGCUCUCAUGCAUGCACUCAAAGAAAUGACGAAAUUCUGAAUGAAUAAGCAGUCAGCGCCCAGGAGAGAUUCUUGAGGCUACAGUUACUCAGAACUUCCUGUAUUUGCCACAAUGGGGGAAGAAUAUGGAAGUUUCAUAGAACCACACAAUCUCAGGGCUAGAACAGACCCUAGUGGUCAUUUGGUCACCCCUUCCCAGGUCCUCCCCCACCCAAUGGAUGAAUCUUCUCUACCCUCAUCUCCAAGAAAUGGUCACAGAGGAUUGCAAUUCUUAUCACAAGAACCUUGCUACCAUUUCCUGACAUGUUCCUUUUCAUUAAUCAUUAUGAAAUUCUUUAUUUAUGCUAAGCUAAAAUCUAUCUUCCCAGAGGUCCUCAUUUUCCUCUCUAGGUCCACACAAAGUCAUUCUAAUCCUUCUUUCAAGUAACAGUUCUCUCAAUAUUUAAAGAGCUGUCACACAUUUCAUCCUGUGAAAUAUGUACAGUGAUGUCAAGGAGAAUGAGGGCUGUGAAAAGGUCGUGGCACCUCUACGUCGGGAAAGCUAUUAGGGAACCAUGACCAUUGGGUUUCAUCAGCAUGGAAGACACAGAGAUACGAGGAGGCCAAGCAGGGUACCCUUUAACCACCAGCUUCACUUCCUUCCUUCCUUCCUAUUGAUAUAUCCCCAAUUUUCUCAUUCCUCAGUAGAUAUCCCUG
This 6637-nucleotide long non-coding RNA is filed under the name Sus scrofa (pig). RNAcentral describes it as "lncRNA (ENSSSCG00065046249.1)". The record is from RNAcentral. Lineage: Eukaryota; Metazoa; Chordata; Mammalia; Artiodactyla; Suidae.